CCUACGGGGCGCAGCAGCGGGGAAUAUUGCACAAUGGGGGAAACCCUGAUGCAGCGACGCCGCGUGAGUGAUGAAGUAUUUCGGUAUGUAAAGCUCUAUCAGCAGGGAAGAUAAUGACGGUACCUGACUAAGAAGCUCCGGCUAAAUACGUGCCAGCAGCCGCGGUAAUACGUAUGGAGCAAGCGUUAUCCGGAUUUACUGGGUGUAAAGGGAGCGCAGACGGCAGGGCAAGUCUGAUGUGAAAGUCCGGGGCUCAACCCCGGGACUGCAUUGGAAACUGUUUAUCUAGAGUGUCGGAGAGGCAA
This 305-nucleotide ribosomal RNA is filed under the name uncultured bacterium. RNAcentral describes it as "bacterial SSU rRNA". It matches the Rfam family "Bacterial small subunit ribosomal RNA", at positions 338 to 660 of the family's 1533-position model. The record is from RNAcentral.